GCUUUACAGCGCAUAACACGCAUACCACGCAUGCGCAACUCCACUUCCGGUUCCUCCAGCUCUCCGCUCCUCUCGACACAGGCGCAGUACAGCCCACACCCUCCACAUCAUGGCGCAGAUGGCAUCUGUCUCCAUAAGAAGACCCUUGUGCUUACUGAGCU
Molecule: long non-coding RNA, 161 nt
Organism: Hyla sarda
Lineage: Eukaryota; Metazoa; Chordata; Amphibia; Anura; Hylidae
Exons: 2
Source: RefSeq, a predicted model, not a curated record